GACGAACGCUGGCGGCGUGCUUAACACAUGCAAGUCGAACGGAAAGGCCCUGCUUUUGUGGGGUUCUCGAGUGGCGAACGGGGGAGUAACACGUGAGUAACCUGCCCUUGACUUUGGGAUAACUUCAGGAAACUGGGGCUAAUACCGGAUAGGAUCUCCUGCUGCAUGGUGGGGGUUGGAAAGUUUCGGCGGUUGGGGAUGGACUCGCGGCUUAUCAGCUUGUUGGUGGGGUAGUGGCUUACCAAGGCUUUGACGGGUAGCCGGCCUGAGAGGGUGACCGGCCACAUUGGGCCUGCGAUACGGCCCAGACUCCUACGGGAGGCAGCAGUGGGGAAUAUUGCACAAUGGGCGGAAGCCUGAUGCAGCAACGCCGCGUGCGGGAUGACGGCCUUCGGGUUGUAAACCGCUUUCGCCUGUGACGAAGCGUGAGUGACGGUAAUGGGUAAAGAAGCACCGGCUAACUACGUG
RNAcentral lists this ribosomal RNA (468 nucleotides) under uncultured bacterium. RNAcentral's name for it is "partial 16S ribosomal RNA". It matches the Rfam family "Bacterial small subunit ribosomal RNA", at positions 28 to 507 of the family's 1533-position model. The record is from RNAcentral.